This 21-nucleotide non-coding RNA is filed under the name Arabidopsis thaliana (thale cress). The record is from RNAcentral. Lineage: Eukaryota; Viridiplantae; Streptophyta; Magnoliopsida; Brassicales; Brassicaceae.
AACGUCCUUAUGAGUUGGUGU